ACUGGUUUCAGAUGAAAUGUUUCAAUAAGCUUCUUCCACAGACUGGACACCUUCCUAGUUUGGGCACAAUCCUUUCCCCUGGUAUAGCCCUUGUUCUAGCUCAGGUGACAGCUAGGAGAUUUCUCAUGACUGCAGCCCCCUUUGUUCUGUUCCAGCCCCUUAUGUAUCUUUUGCACAAGGUGGGAAUCCUUUGUCCCUCUCUGGGUUCCCACCCCUCCUUCUAAAUGGAAAAG
This is a long non-coding RNA of Dermochelys coriacea (leatherback sea turtle), 233 nucleotides long. RefSeq lists it as uncharacterized. The transcript is spliced from 3 exons. NCBI's taxonomy places the organism in Eukaryota, Metazoa, Chordata, Testudines, Dermochelyidae. The record is from RefSeq and is a predicted model, not a curated record.